GUUUUAUAAUUUUCACUUACAAUGAAAAAUACCUUAUGAGGGGCCUUCAUUAAUUAUAGUGAUUUAAUA
RNAcentral lists this transfer RNA (69 nucleotides) under Gammarus sp. 2120a. RNAcentral describes it as "tRNA-Val". The record is from RNAcentral. RNAcentral also lists the same sequence under 1 other name. Lineage: Eukaryota; Metazoa; Arthropoda; Malacostraca; Amphipoda; Gammaridae.